This 5147-nucleotide long non-coding RNA is filed under the name Sus scrofa (pig). RNAcentral describes it as "lncRNA (ENSSSCG00050023399.1)". Lineage: Eukaryota; Metazoa; Chordata; Mammalia; Artiodactyla; Suidae. The record is from RNAcentral.
UGUAGGUCACAGACACCGCUUGGAUCCUGCAGUGCUGUCGCUGUGGCAUAGGCCAGCAGCUGCAGCUCCAAUUGGACCCCUAGUCUGGAAACCUCCAUAUGCCAUGAGUGCAGCCCUAAAAGGCAAAAAAUAAAAAAAUAAAAUAAAAUAAACUAUUGACUUUGGUAUAAUUGUAGACUUACAGAAAAGUUGCAAACAUAAUACAGAGUUCCUGUGCAUCCUUCACUCAAUUUCCCCUAAUGGUAACGUCUUACAUAUUGAUGGUGUAUUUGUCAAACCUAAGAGAUUAACCUUGGGACAUUUCUAUUAACUACCUGUAGGCUUUAUUUGGAUUUCACCAGUUUUCCCCUUCCAGGAUCCAGUUCUGGACACCACAGUACACUUGGUCAUCAUGACCUCUUCGGCUUCUCUGAUUUGUGACAGUUUCUUAGUCUUGUUUGUCUUGAUGUGAUCAGGUAUUUUGUAGAAAGUCCCUUAGUUUGGAUUUGCCUGAUGUUUUCUCAUGACAGAACUGGGGCUAUGGGUUUGGGAAGAAUGUCACAGAGGGUAAGGCGUCCCUCUCAGGGGAAUUACAUCAGGGGGUACAUAUCAAUGUAUGACCUUCAGUCUAUUUUAUUUUAUUUUAUUUUAUUUUAUUUAUUUUAGCUGUGCCUGUGGCGUGCAGAAAUUCCUGGGCCAGGCAUCAAACCUGCACCACAGCAAUGACCUGAGCUGCUACUUUUUUUUUUUUAUUCGUUUUAUUUUUUAAUGUAUGGAGGCCAUGGCCAUUUUCAAGCUGAGUAACAGAGGUCUCUGUUGCACCUCCAGGCUGCUUUCCAAACAGUUGCCAUCUCAACACUUCCUUUUCAUUUGUGUCCCUUAACAUCGCAAGAUAGGGUUAAAUAAAAGCUCAGGCUACACACAGGCUGCAGAGCAGCCUUUGAUUUAAGUAGACGCUGGAGAGAAGGUCUGAGAAAAAGAUGUCCUUAACAGGAAACACAUUUAAAAAAUCCCUUGAAGGCUGGUUCCUGUGUCACUGAAAUGUUUAGAUAAGAACACACGCACGCACGCACGCAUGCACGCACACACACACACACACACCCCAUGAAGACAUAUGCAAAUGUAUUAUUGUUAUUGGAAAGUGAAGAAAUACACCAAGGCUUCAGAGAAUAUUAACAGACAGCUCCUAGGCUGCAGUGGUGAUGAUUAAAAUCUGGUUGACAUUGGCUCUGGCUGACCAGGGUCUUUUAAGUUUUCACAUGGCAGGGAUGCUAGCACAAGUGAACAAGGAAAUACCAGACAUCUCCCUCUUGAACACAGUGCAUUGCAUUUUACCUUGUGUCUUUGUCUGUGUUUCCUAACGUCAUCGUUGAAAUAUUUGAAGUUAAAGUGUGAAGUAUUGCUUUUCCCUGGCUAAGGAAACUGAGAAGGCUGAGUGAGAUCCUGUGACUUGGUCAGAUGACUAGUUACGGAUGGAAAUGAGAUUAGAAAGCAGGUGUUUUUCCCUGUGUGCUGUUGUCAGAGAGAUUCAGGCUGAUGGCAUCCAGGAUCAACCUUUGAGGACUUCUUGCUUUGGUAUCAAACAUCUCAGGAUGAAUGAUUCGUUAGAAUUUAAAGUUAUAGCCCCAAGUUUCUCAUAGUAAACAGUCCAAAUGUUGGUUUGGAGCACCAGAUUUGUGUUCUAAAUCCCAUUUAGAGUCCCUGUAUUGAUAGAUAUGUUCAAUAGGAAGCCUGGGUGGGCAGGGGAAUGCACUAAUGAAGUUCACGCAGCAGCUCUGAUCCUUACAGCUCAGGGUCAUGGUCAGGAAGACCAACAGCUGACAAUGUUAUUGGAGGUGAUCCUAGCUUCUGAGCUACCUGAGGGUAGGGUUACACUUGGAACCCACAGAGCUCAGCUUCAUGGGAACAGAAUGAUACUUCUGAAUCCAGCCCUUGGUAGUUCCCAUUGGGCUCCCAUCCUACCAUGAAAGGAGUAAUUGCAAAACCUAGAUUGCAAGGGGCUGGUGAGAUAGAGGAUUGAUCACCAACACCCUCCUAAAAAAGCCAGCACCUAAACACAUCUUAACAUUUCAGAUAUAAUUUCUCCCUCUGGAACUUAUGAUGCUGAGACCAGAGUGGUACUGGAAUGGGGUCUCCUCCAUUAACAGAGGAGCGAUUGUAAAGUGGGUGAAAAGCUCAGGCUAAUGAAAAUGUCUUUGAAUUUCCCUUUAGUUUCACAAGUAAGAUUCUGUAGCUCUCUUGUCUUGUUUGGUUCAUGGGCAGUGAGUUUAAUGGCACUUCACACUGAGUGUGCCUCAGUCAUGGUGAGGUAUUUCAAGAAAACUCUAGUUGGGCUUCUGGAUUCUUGGAACAUUAAUAAUUUUAACGGUGACAGUCAAAGCUGGAGGAACUCCAGUUUCAGCAAGUGUUUUUAAGAGGCCGUUUAAUAAUGAGGCAUGCAGAACCCUGGGUGGGAGGGCUCCAAGCUUUUGCUGGCUGCAGGCUCUUGCAGGAUCUUGCUGUCUUCCUGGCUGGCUCUGUGUCCUUGAUCUUGCCAUGGAACCUCACUUUCUGGGUUCCAGCGGAAUGUGCAGACAAAACUCUCCCUGACCUGCCUAAUAGGUAUGUUUUGAGAAACAAGUGAUCGGACGUACAAAAGGUGGGAGAAGUCUAAAAGGAAAAGAGGGGAAAAUUACAUUUUGGAAACAGAAAUUGUGUAAUAACAAGCAGUGACAGAGUGCCUGCACAUUGGAGUUUUGUACUCAGAGCGAAGAUUUAUUUGGCACUUUGGAUUUGUUUUUUUCAGUGAGCAGAGGCUAUUUGGGGGAGAGAAAGGAGAAGAGGGAAAGAAAUUUCAAAUGCCAAGAAUAAUCUGUGUCUAUAAUCUACCAGAAAUUCUACUGAUUUACAACUCUACUUAGAUCAAAAAGAUCUUUUGAUGAUGAUUCACACCACGUCUGUUUUCCACAUUGUUUCAUAGUUUGAGUUUCCUCCUCCCACCCCAUGCCCCUAGCCAUUGUCUAAAGCUCAAAAAGCAAAAUCGUUUAGAAAGGGGGCCCUCUGAGGCCUUAGAACAAUGAGUGACCUAAUUUUUUCCACCAGUCCUGUUACUGAGCUUGGGUGUCUCACCUUUUUAGCCUUCCAAACACUGGCUUAUCUUGGGGACCUUAUGAAACACUGUGCCUAAGAAUAACCUGGUGGUUUAAAAACAAAUGGACUAAGCCCUGUGUGAGCCUCCCAUGAAGGGCAUUUCUAAGUCCCUCUUAAAAGCUUGAGCUUGGAUCAGAGUGGGUAGUAUUAUUUGGGGGUUAACUGCUGAGUGUAGUUUCCUCUCCUCCCCCUUUUGUCAAGGUCUUGUUUCCUCUGAGCUUUCUCCCAGUUCCAGAGGAUACGUGGUCAUGGGGCAGUGUGGACACUGGUGAGUCUGGCCGGAGGAUGUGUCUCUCCCUUCAGAUCCAGGUACUGAAGGCUCCUGGCUGAAUGGGGAGAAUGCUUAACAUCUUGGCCACAGGUGGGGUCAAAGUUGGUCCUUCCUCUCAUAGACCAAACCCAGAUCUUGCUGAGCUCAGGGGUUACUGCGUUAGCAGUGGCUUAACCACUGCUCCCUCAUGUUCCAUGUUCCAUUGCUCUGACUUGCCCUGGCUUGUCCCACUGAGGAGGACAGUAUGAGGACUGGAGAAACUUUACUUGGUCAUAAUUCUGUCACUAGAUAAGAGCGCAUAUCUGCUCCUAUCCAUCACCUUAGCAGCUGUUAUGUUCCUAUUCCUCUGUAGGGCUCAUGCCCACUCAUAGGGCACUUUCCCUGGGUUGUUCAUCUUUCUAGAAAAUUCAGUGGUGCCAUUUUAUUCCAAUCUUGAGCACGUCUUAACAAAUUCCCUCUCAGUUAUUCACUUGCUAAGGGAGUGGCCUGGAGUGAGAGGAGAUCCCUGGACUAAGGGUCAGGAGACAGGAGUGCUGGGCCCAGCUCUGCCACCUGCUUCAUGACCUAGGGAAUGCUCUUUAUGUUCUAAGGAUAUUAUUUCUCUUGCUAGUAAGUUCAGGCAAUUAGACUAAGCUCAUCUCUAAAGGCCAAUGCCAUAAUAAAUAUAAAAUAGAUUUGAUAUAAAAGAUUUAUAACCUGUAGCAUUCUGGUCAUAGCUAUGUAUAUAAGUGCCAGUAGAUCAGAGAGAAAAAGAAAUUAGUGAAAGAAAGUUCUUACCUAACUAUUCUCACCUCUAUUAAAGCAUGAAAAUCAAUUAUUUUUAAUGGAGUUUUGCCUAUUCAGUAUAACAUAAGGAAAGAAAACUCUUCCUGUAUUGGGUUCAGGCUUCUGAAGUCUACCAGUGGCUAUUUUAUUACCUGAAAGUGAUAUCAAGAGUAAAACUUAUAUGUUUUAACCGUGGUAAUUUGUAAGCUAUUGGCUAAUAUUAAAUAAUAGUGGUGAUUUACCAAAAUCCUUUUUUUCUGAAAAUUAGUUAUGCGAAACUGUUAUUUAUUUACAAGUUUAAGAUAGAAGAAGAGAUGGAAAUACUGCCUUAAACCAGACGAAGUGUGGGCAGAUGCUGGCCAAGCUUUCCUUCCAUUUGUGGUUCCUUGCAGGCUAAGCAUUCAGCCUCUGGGGCAAAGGCAGACAAUUGUGUUAAAUCAUGCAAAGCAGAGUGGCAAUUUGGUGAGGCACACAAAAUGGAUUGAAAGCAGAGAACUAGUUAAUUUUUCAGUAUUGAUCCUGGACCUGAAGGCUGCAGAGAUAAAGAAUAAGGAUUAACACUUAUAAUAUGCUACCUGCUUGAAAAAAGAAACUUUUUGCAAAAAGCACAACACAUACAUUUCAGCUUUUUACAAUUUUCCAAUUAAGUAUUAACUCUUUAACUCAUGAAAGAUUUUGGGAUUUUCAGCCCAACAAUCAUGCAGUUGCAUGAGGAUCUUUAUAAAUGUCCUGUAACCUCACCAAAAUGUCCCAAAUUACCCACCUCUUUGCUUUAAUUAGAAAAAAGUUUAUGGAGUUCCCGUCGUGGCACAGUGGUUAACGAAUCUGACUAGGAACCAUGACGCUGCAGGUUCAAUCCCUGGCCUUGCUGUGGUCUAGGUUGCAGAUAUGGCUCGGAUCCCAAGUUGCUGUGGCUCUGGCAUAGGCUAGUGGCUACAGCUCCGAUUAGACCCUUAGCCUGGGAACCUCCAUAUGCCAUGGGAGCGGCCCUAGCAAAGACAAA